CGAGUUAUACUCAACGCAUGCUCAAGGAAUUCAUGCAUCCUAUUUCCAAUCAACUAAAGCCAUUCCAAGCACGAUCCCGCGAUCGACAUGGUGGCGCCACCACCUCUCACACCGUGCCACCUACCAGACCUCCAGCUGAGACCACCACACCGGCCAUCGCCGCCGAAUAUGGUGGAACCUCCCAUCAAGGCGGGCUCGUUACCACCUCCGACUUAGGCCCCGGUCUUGGAGCAACUUCAAGCAUUCCCUCCA
RNAcentral lists this long non-coding RNA (252 nucleotides) under Prunus persica (peach). RNAcentral's name for it is "long non-coding RNA (PPER_LNC003608)". The record is from RNAcentral. Lineage: Eukaryota; Viridiplantae; Streptophyta; Magnoliopsida; Rosales; Rosaceae.